UACAGAGGGGGCAAGCGUUAUUCGGAAUUAUUGGGCGUAAAGGGCGCGUAGGCGGCCGUGCAAGUGGAAGGUGAAAUCCCUCGGCUCAACCGAGGAACUGCCUUUCAAACUGCUUGGCUUGAGUCCGGGAGAGGUGAGUGGAAUUCCCAGUGUAGCGGUGAAAUGCGUAGAUAUUGGGAGGAACACCAGUGGCGAAGGCGGCUCACUGGACCGGAACUGACGCUGAGGCGCGAAAGCUAGGGGAGCAAACAGG
RNAcentral lists this ribosomal RNA (253 nucleotides) under uncultured bacterium. Its description in RNAcentral is "partial 16S ribosomal RNA". It matches the Rfam family "Bacterial small subunit ribosomal RNA", at positions 524 to 776 of the family's 1533-position model. The record is from RNAcentral.